Molecule: long non-coding RNA, 975 nt
Organism: Callithrix jacchus (white-tufted-ear marmoset)
Lineage: Eukaryota; Metazoa; Chordata; Mammalia; Primates; Cebidae
Source: RefSeq, a predicted model, not a curated record
UCUCUACCAAAAAUACAAACAAUUAGUGGGCCUGGUGGCGUGUGCCUGUAAUCCCAGUUACUCAGGAGGCUGAGGCAGGAGAAUUGCCUGAACCCAGGAGGCAGAGGUUGCGGUAAACCAAGAUCGCACCAUUGCACUCCAGCCUGGGUAACAAGAACGAAACUCUGUCUCAAAAAAAAAAAAGACAGAAACAGUAAUCACCAAAGUGAAUGUGAGUUUCACAAUCCACAGAUUCAGAUGCAAGAAGUGACAUUUUAUCUUCCUAUUACAACUGAAUUGUAUUCCUAGACCUGACUCGGCCCCAUGAAAGGAAAAUUAAUGUAGUUCAGCCAGUGAAUUCAAUCAUCACAGGCCAAUUUGGUCAAAGAAGGUUCCACAUUCACACCCACACCUUCCAGAGUGGGAAUCAGAAAAGUAAGUGGGCUCUGGUUCUCUCAAUGUCCACAACGCUUACCUCUCAGGAUCUUCUAAGAUGGGCCGUCACAUAGAGGAGGGGCCUGCAUACAGAAAGCAGACGGAGUUUCGCUGCUGUUACCCAGACUGGAGUGCAAUGGCACAAUCUCGGCUCACCGCAACCUCUGCCUCCUGGGUUCAAGCAAUUCUCCUGCCCCAGCCUCCCAAGUAGCUGGGAUUACAGGUACAGAAGAGCAUAGAAGAGGAGGUAGUGGUAGCUGUUAAAUUUUGUGAAGAUGAAUAAAUCAGAACGCCAUCAGAACGACAGAUUCAAGACCUUCAAAAACCAAAAUACAGUCUAAGGAAUUAAAAUCUAAGCAUAAUGUACUUCAAAUUAGCAAUAAAUAUAUAAUUUCCAAAAAAUAGUUGCCUACUACGUGCUAGGUUUUGUACUGCAUGCUCUUAUUUGUCACAACUGUGUGAGGCAUUUUCCCCAUCUUACCCACAGGGAAACUGAAGCUCAAGUUAUAUGAGCUUCCUGAUGUCACAUCACUAGUAGGUGAUAGGCAGAGCAAAAUUUGA